RNAcentral lists this ribosomal RNA (241 nucleotides) under uncultured bacterium. RNAcentral's name for it is "partial 16S ribosomal RNA". It matches the Rfam family "Bacterial small subunit ribosomal RNA", at positions 95 to 334 of the family's 1533-position model. The record is from RNAcentral.
CCGGCGAACGGGUGAGUAACGCGUACGUAACCUGGCCACAGAUGGGGGAUAGCCCUGGGAAACUGGGAUUAAUACCGCAUAAUAUAUUAAUAUGGCAUCAUAUAAAUAUUAAAGGAGAGAUCCGUCUGUGGAUGGGCGUGCGUUCUAUUAGUUAGUUGGUGAGGUAACGGCUCACCAAGGCGAUGAUAGAUAGGGGGCGUGAGAGCGUGAUCCCCCACACGGGUACUGAGGCACGGACCCG